AUUGAACGCUGGCGGCAUGCCUUACACAUGCAAGUCGAACGGCAGCACGGGAGCAAUCCUGGUGGCGAGUGGCGAACGGGUGAGUAAUAUAUCGGAACGUGCCCAAUCGUGGGGGAUAACGUAGCGAAAGCUACGCUAAUACCGCAUACGAUCUACGGAUGAAAGCGGGGGAUCGCAAGACCUCGCGCGAUUGGAGCGGCCGAUAUCAGAUUAGCUAGUUGGUGGGGUAAAGGCCCACCAAGGCGACGAUCUGUAGCUGGUCUGAGAGGACGACCAGCCACACUGGAACUGAGACACGGUCCAGACUCCUACGGGAGGCAGCAGUGGGGAAUUUUGGACAAUGGGCGCAAGCCUGAUCCAGCAAUGCCGCGUGCAGGAUGAAGGCCUUCGGGUUGUAAACUGCUUUUGUACGGAGCGAAACGGUUUCCACUAAUACUGGGGGCUAAUGACGGUACCGUAAGAAUAAGCACCGGCUAACUACGUGCCAGCCGCCGCGGUAA
RNAcentral lists this ribosomal RNA (500 nucleotides) under uncultured bacterium. RNAcentral's name for it is "partial 16S ribosomal RNA". It matches the Rfam family "Bacterial small subunit ribosomal RNA", at positions 30 to 523 of the family's 1533-position model. The record is from RNAcentral.